RNAcentral lists this non-coding RNA (118 nucleotides) under unclassified sequences. Its description in RNAcentral is "Betaproteobacteria-1 RNA". It matches the Rfam family "Betaproteobacteria-1 RNA". The record is from Rfam by way of RNAcentral.
CGUCUAACUGUUCGGUCACCAUACGGCAGGGUUAGAGGAAAUGGACUACUGUGGGAAAGCUCUGAGAGAGUCCUAGGGGUGGCGAAGCUAGUGCCCCAUGAGCGCAAGACUGGCGGGU